This 254-nucleotide ribosomal RNA is filed under the name uncultured bacterium. Its description in RNAcentral is "partial 16S ribosomal RNA". It matches the Rfam family "Bacterial small subunit ribosomal RNA", at positions 524 to 776 of the family's 1533-position model. The record is from RNAcentral.
UACGUAGGGGGCAAGCGUUGUUCGGAGUUACUGGGCGUAAAGGGCGCGUAGGCGGCGCGUAAAGUCGGACAUGAAAUCAUUGGGCUUAACCCAAUGGCUGUGCCCGAUAAUUGCGUGCUUAGAGUGCGGGAGAGGCAAUCGGAAUUCUCGGUGUAGCGGUGAAAUGCGUAGAUAUCGAGAGGAACUCCAGUGACGAAGGUGGGUUGCUGGACCGACACUGACGCUGAGGCGCGAAAGCUAGGGGAGCAAACGGG